UAGGGAAUCUUCCACAAUGGACGAAAGCCUGAUGGAGCAACGCCGCGUGAGUGAAGAAGGGUUUCGGCUCGUAAAACUCUGUUGUUAAAGAAGAACAUAUCUGAGAGUAACUGUUCAGGUAUUGACGGUAUUUAACCAGAAAGCCACGGCUAACUACGCGCCAG
RNAcentral lists this ribosomal RNA (164 nucleotides) under uncultured bacterium. Its description in RNAcentral is "partial 16S rRNA". It matches the Rfam family "Bacterial small subunit ribosomal RNA", at positions 355 to 511 of the family's 1533-position model. The record is from RNAcentral.